GUAGGUGGCAAGCGUUGUCCGGGAAUUAUUGGGGCGUAAAGCGCGCGCAGGCGGUUCUUUAAGUCUGAUGUGAAAGCCCACGGGCUCAACCGUGGAGGGUCAUUGGAAACAGGAGAACUUGAGUACAGAAGAGGAAAGCGGAAUUCCACGUGUAGCGGUGAAAUGCGUAGAGAUGUGGAGGAACACCAGUGGCGAAGGCGGCUUUCUGGUCUGUAACUGACGCUGAGGCGCGAAAGCGUGGGGAGCAAACAGGAUUAGAUACCCUGGUAGUCCACGCCGUAAACGAUGAGUGCUAAGUGUUAGGGGGUUUCCGCCCCUUAGUGCUGCAGCUAACGCAUUAAGCACUCCGCCUGGGGAGUACGGCCGCAAAGGCUGA
Molecule: ribosomal RNA, 376 nt
Filed under: uncultured organism
Description: partial 16S ribosomal RNA
Rfam family: Bacterial small subunit ribosomal RNA
Source: RNAcentral